This is a long non-coding RNA of Haplochromis burtoni (Burton's mouthbrooder), 950 nucleotides long. RefSeq lists it as uncharacterized. NCBI's taxonomy places the organism in Eukaryota, Metazoa, Chordata, Actinopteri, Cichliformes, Cichlidae. The record is from RefSeq and is a predicted model, not a curated record. The transcript has 4 exons.
UUGUGGAGUGUCAGCCUGUGGUGUCCAGUGUGUGUGUCCAGGAGAGAUGACCUGCGCUGUUUUCCUCUGAGGAGAUAUCUGAAACAUUUCAUUGGAUCACAAGCAAAGACCUCCUGGGGACCUUCAAUGCAUCUCUUGACAAAUUUGUGCCUGGCCUGCUGAAACUGUACCGGUCUAAGAAGGGAGCUCUUUGUGAGGAGAUGGAAGACCUCCUGGAUAAACUUGACGAACAGGCAUCCGACAUUGUGUCCAACGGGCACUGAGACGCCAGCCCAUUUUCCUCAAGGGACGAUGCAACAGAGGUUUUCCUGAAGUGCUUAGACACUGACAUUUUGGAACCAGUGUUGAACGGUGCAUCAGUUGCCAUCCUCACCAUCCUACAAGAUGACGAUGCCGAUACGUCUGUGCGAGAACAUGCAGUUGUGUUGGAAGGGGACAUCGUGCUACAUAACAUUCCAGAUCUCUCUACUGCCUUGGCAUACCUCUUUGGCCUUCUGUAUGCCCUCAACAUUGAUUAUCCAAAGCAGAUGAGUUAUACCUUUAAAGCAAUUGAGGCCAGUCUUAUUUUGACCUGGUCGGACUUUAUGAAGGUGAAGUGGAUAAAUCAUUAUUCGAAAUGUAAAUUUUAGUCAGAUGAAUCUGUAUUGUUGAGAAUAUAUGGUGAAAAUUUGUCUUGUAGUAUUUUAAAAGAUUUGUUAUAGUGUUUUCCAUAUGAAGCAUAGAACUGGUGUUUUACCUGUUAGUUUCCUCUUCAUUGAUGGUAACAUUUCUAAUAACUUUUAACUUCCAUAGUUCAUCAUAGUAAGCCCAUGUAAAAUGUCAAUGUCUGGGUACAUAGGCAUCGUUUGUGGCACUACCCUAUUUAAUGUGCAAUAGUUAUGUUCAGCUUUUACAAGACGGUCAGGGUGUGUGCGUGAAUUAUUAAGUUGCUGGACACUUUUCUUUUUUGG